Molecule: ribosomal RNA, 1114 nt
Filed under: Salmonella enterica
Lineage: Bacteria; Pseudomonadati; Pseudomonadota; Gammaproteobacteria; Enterobacterales; Enterobacteriaceae
Description: bacterial SSU rRNA
Rfam family: Bacterial small subunit ribosomal RNA
Source: RNAcentral
AAAUUGAAGAGUUUGAUCAUGGCUCAGAUUGAACGCUGGCGGCAGGCCUAACACAUGCAAGUCGAACGGUAACAGGAAGCAGCUUGCUGCUUCGCUGACGAGUGGCGGACGGGUGAGUAAUGUCUGGGAAACUGCCUGAUGGAGGGGGAUAACUACUGGAAACGGUGGCUAAUACCGCAUAACGUCGCAAGACCAAAGAGGGGGACCUUCGGGCCUCUUGCCAUCAGAUGUGCCCAGAUGGGAUUAGCUAGUUGGUGAGGUAACGGCUCACCAAGGCGACGAUCCCUAGCUGGUCUGAGAGGAUGACCAGCCACACUGGAACUGAGACACGGUCCAGACUCCUACGGGAGGCAGCAGUGGGGAAUAUUGCACAAUGGGCGCAAGCCUGAUGCAGCCAUGCCGCGUGUAUGAAGAAGGCCUUCGGGUUGUAAAGUACUUUCAGCGGGGAGGAAGGUGUUGUGGUUAAUAACCGCAGCAAUUGACGUUACCCGCAGAAGAAGCACCGGCUAACUCCGUGCCAGCAGCCGCGGUAAUACGGAGGGUGCAAGCGUUAAUCGGAAUUACUGGGCGUAAAGCGCACGCAGGCGGUCUGUCAAGUCGGAUGUGAAAUCCCCGGGCUCAACCUGGGAACUGCAUUCGAAACUGGCAGGCUUGAGUCUUGUAGAGGGGGGUAGAAUUCCAGGUGUAGCGGUGAAAUGCGUAGAGAUCUGGAGGAAUACCGGUGGCGAAGGCGGCCCCCUGGACAAAGACUGACGCUCAGGUGCGAAAGCGUGGGGAGCAAACAGGAUUAGAUACCCUGGUAGUCCACGCCGUAAACGAUGUCUACUUGGAGGUUGUGCCCUUGAGGCGUGGCUUCCGGAGCUAACGCGUUAAGUAGACCGCCUGGGGAGUACGGCCGCAAGGUUAAAACUCAAAUGAAUUGACGGGGGCCCGCACAAGCGGUGGAGCAUGUGGUUUAAUUCGAUGCAACGCGAAGAACCUUACCUGGUCUUGACAUCCACGGAAGUUUUCAGAGAUGAGAAUGUGCCUUCGGGAACCGUGAGACAGGUGCUGCAUGGCUGUCGUCAGCUCGUGUUGUGAAAUGUUGGGUUAAGUCCCGCAACGAGCGCAACCC